GUGUCAGCAGCCGCGGUAAUACGUAGGGGGCUAGCGUUAUCCGGAUUUACUGGGCGUAAAGGGUGCGUAGGUGGUUUCUUAAGUCAGGAGUGAAAGGCUACGGCUCAACCGUAGUAAGCUCUUGAAACUGGGAAACUUGAGUGCAGGAGAGGAAAGUGGAAUUCCUAGUGUAGCGGUGAAAUGCGUAGAUAUUAGGAGGAACACCAGUAGCGAAGGCGGCUUUCUGGACUGUAACUGACACUGAGGCACGAAAGCGUGGGGAGCAAACAGGAUUAGAUACCCUGGUAGUCCACGCCGUAAACGAUGAGUACUAGGUGUCGGGGGUUACCCCCCUCGGUGCCGCAGCUAACGCAUUAAGUACUCCGCCUGGGGAGUACGCUCGCAAGAGUGAA
This 392-nucleotide ribosomal RNA is filed under the name uncultured bacterium. RNAcentral describes it as "bacterial SSU rRNA". It matches the Rfam family "Bacterial small subunit ribosomal RNA", at positions 505 to 898 of the family's 1533-position model. The record is from RNAcentral.